GUUCUAUGAUGGGCUGGCCAAAUGAUGCUAAAAUAUGUUUUUGCUGAGUCUUUCUUUGAAGACUAACAAAAUCGAGCUUUUUAAAACUGAUGGUUG
RNAcentral lists this small nucleolar RNA (96 nucleotides) under Oryza sativa (Asian cultivated rice). Lineage: Eukaryota; Viridiplantae; Streptophyta; Magnoliopsida; Poales; Poaceae. The record is from RNAcentral.